GGACGAACGCUGGCGGCGUGCCUAACGCAUGCAAGUCGAGCGGGGAUGGUAGCUGAAGGUGAUGAGCUGGAAGCUGCCAUCUUAGCGGCGGACGGGUGAGUAACACGUGAGCAACCUACCCUCAGCACGGGGAUAACAGCUCGAAAGGGCUGCUAAUACCCGAUGGGACCACGUCAUUGCAUGGUGAUGUGGUGAAAGGGUGGACGUAAGGUCCAUACCGGCUGGGGAUGGGCUCGCGGCCCAUCAGCUAGUUGGUGGGGUAACGGCCUACCAAGGCGACGACGGGUAGCCGGCCUGAGAGGGGUGACCGGCCACAGUGGGACUGAGACACGGCCCACACUCCCUACGGGAGGCAGCAGCGGGGAAUCUUGCGCAAUGGGCGAAAGCCUGACGCAGCGACGCCGCGUGAGGGAAGGAGCCCUUCGGGGUGUAAACCUCUUUGGACGGGGAGAAGUAGGAGAUAGUACCCGUUUAAAAAGCCACGGCUAACUACGUGCCAGCAGCCGCGGUAAUACGUAGGUGGCGAGCGUUGUCCGGGAAUUACUGGGCGUAAAGGGGUGCGUAGGCGGCCUGGUAAGUUGAGCGUGAAAAUUUUUGGGCUCAACCCAAAAGGAGCGUUCAAGACUGCCAGGCUUGAGUGCGGGAGAGGACGGCGGAAAUUUCCCGGUGGUAGCGGUGAAAUGCGUAGAUAUCGGGAGGAACCCCCAGUGGGGCGAGGCGGCCGUCUGGACCGUAACUGACGCUGAGGCACGAAAGCGUGGGGAGCAAACAGGAUUUAGAUACCCUGGUAGUCCACGCUGUAAACGAUGGAUGCUAGGUGUGGGGGAGAAGAACUCUUUCCCGUGCCGUAGUUAACACAAUAAAGCAUCCCGCCUGGGGAGUACGGCCGCAAGGUUGAAACUCAAAAGGAAUUGACGGGGGCCCGCACAAGCGGUGGAGCAUGUGGUUUAAUUCGAAGCAACGCGAAGAACCUUACCAGGGCUUGACAUGCCGGGAACCCUUCCGAAAGGAGGGGGUGCCUGACCAAUGAGGUUAGGAACCCGGACACAGGUGGUGCAUGGUUGUCGUCAGCUCGUGUCGUGAGAUGUUGGGUUAAGUCCCGCAACGAGCGCAACCCCUGCCCUUAGUUGCCAGCGGGCAGAGCCGGGCACUCUAAGGGGACUGCCGCCGAUGAGGCGGAGGAAGGUGGGGAUG
Molecule: ribosomal RNA, 1194 nt
Filed under: uncultured bacterium
Lineage: Bacteria
Description: bacterial SSU rRNA
Rfam family: Bacterial small subunit ribosomal RNA
Source: RNAcentral